Eurytemora carolleeae is the source of this 490-nucleotide long non-coding RNA. RefSeq lists it as uncharacterized. NCBI's taxonomy places the organism in Eukaryota, Metazoa, Arthropoda, Copepoda, Calanoida, Temoridae. The record is from RefSeq and is a predicted model, not a curated record. The transcript has 3 exons.
GCGUAUACAAGACUCCAGUCUCAACGGAGUCCGAGAGUUCCUGUGUCUUUGGAUCUCUACGUAUACAAGACUCCAGUCUCAACGGAGUCCGAGUGUUCCUGUGUCUUUGGGACGCUUGCAUAAUCCUCUACGCUUCCUCUGGUAGUAUCCUAGAGACGUUUCCAUCUCUAGGUACCAGACCUCCUACAACCUUGGCUUGGUUGUUUCCUUGUUCUAUGGUAUCUCCGAUGGAAUGAUUACUCUGUUUCCCUGAUCUAAGCUCCUCUAGAUCAAAUACAGUUCUUGUACCCGAGACUGUGGUGCAUUCUAAACACUAAAGGCUACAAACCUCCGGACAAAUCAACAUUUUCACGGUUGAGUCCUGUAUAAACUGCCUACCUGAAAUAUAUACAUAAGAUUUAAUCAGUGCAAAUAGAGGUGAGCCGAAGAGAAAGAGUUCAUGCUCGCUCUUAUGUUUGUAGUUAUUACCUGGUCUCCUAUAGGUAAAAAU